This 253-nucleotide ribosomal RNA is filed under the name uncultured bacterium. RNAcentral describes it as "partial 16S ribosomal RNA". It matches the Rfam family "Bacterial small subunit ribosomal RNA", at positions 524 to 776 of the family's 1533-position model. The record is from RNAcentral.
UACAGAGGCCUCAAGCGUUGUUCGGAAUUACUGGGCGUAAAGGGAGUGUAGGUGGUGACGUAAGUCAGAUGUGAAAGCCCUGGGCUUAACCUGGGAAGUGCAUUUGAUACUGCGUUGCUAGAGUGUGUGAGAGGAAAGCGGAAUUCCAGGUGUAGGGGUGAAAUCCGUAGAUAUCUGGAGGAAUACCGAUGGCGAAGGCAGCUUUCUGGCACAUAACUGACACUGAGACUCGAAAGCAUGGGUAGCAAACAGG